This 584-nucleotide ribosomal RNA is filed under the name Pseudomonas sp. StFRB161. Its description in RNAcentral is "bacterial SSU rRNA". It matches the Rfam family "Bacterial small subunit ribosomal RNA", at positions 102 to 682 of the family's 1533-position model. Lineage: Bacteria; Pseudomonadati; Pseudomonadota; Gammaproteobacteria; Pseudomonadales; Pseudomonadaceae. The record is from RNAcentral.
ACGGGUGAGUAAUGCCUAGGAAUCUGCCUGGUAGUGGGGGACAACGUCUCGAAAGGGACGCUAAUACCGCAUACGUCCUACGGGAGAAAGCAGGGGACCUUCGGGCCUUGCGCUAUCAGAUGAGCCUAGGUCGGAUUAGCUAGUUGGUGAGGUAAUGGCUCACCAAGGCGACGAUCCGUAACUGGUCUGAGAGGAUGAUCAGUCACACUGGAACUGAGACACGGUCCAGACUCCUACGGGAGGCAGCAGUGGGGAAUAUUGGACAAUGGGCGAAAGCCUGAUCCAGCCAUGCCGCGUGUGUGAAGAAGGUCUUCGGAUUGUAAAGCACUUUAAGUUGGGAGGAAGGGUUGUAGAUUAAUACUCUGCAAUUUUGACGUUACCGACAGAAUAAGCACCGGCUAACUCUGUGCCAGCAGCCGCGGUAAUACAGAGGGUGCAAGCGUUAAUCGGAAUUACUGGGCGUAAAGCGCGCGUAGGUGGUUUGUUAAGUUGGAUGUGAAAGCCCCGGGCUCAACCUGGGAACUGCAUUCAAAACUGACAAGCUAGAGUAUGGUAGAGGGUGGUGGAAUUUCCUGUGUAGCGGU